RNAcentral lists this ribosomal RNA (454 nucleotides) under uncultured bacterium. RNAcentral describes it as "bacterial SSU rRNA". It matches the Rfam family "Bacterial small subunit ribosomal RNA", at positions 340 to 785 of the family's 1533-position model. The record is from RNAcentral.
UACGGGAGGCAGCAGUGGGGAAUAUUGCACAAUGGGCGCAAGCCUGAUGCAGCCAUGCCGCGUGUAUGAAAAAGGCCUUCGGGUUGUAAAGUACUUUCAGUCGUGAGGAAGGUGUUAAGGUUAAUAACCUUAGCAAUUGACGUUAGCGACAGAAGAAGCACCGGCUAACUCCGUGCCAGCAGCCGCGGUAAUACGGAGGGUGCGAGCGUUAAUCGGAAUUACUGGGCUAAAGGGCACGCAGGCGGUUAAUUAAGUUGGAUGUGAAAUCCCCGGGCUUAACCUGGGAAUGGCAUUCAAGACUGGUUAGCUAGAGUCUUGUAGAGGGGGUUAGAAUUCCAUGUGUAGCGGUGAAAUGCGUAGAGAUGUGGAGGAAUACCGGUGGCGAAGGCGGCCCCUGGACAAAGGCUGACGCUCGAUGUGCGAAAGCGUGGGGAGCAAACGAGGGAUUAGAUAC